Molecule: transfer RNA, 74 nt
Filed under: Ipomoea nil (Japanese morning glory)
Lineage: Eukaryota; Viridiplantae; Streptophyta; Magnoliopsida; Solanales; Convolvulaceae
Rfam family: tRNA
About the family: Transfer RNA (tRNA) molecules are approximately 80 nucleotides in length. Their secondary structure includes four short double-helical elements and three loops (D, anti-codon, and T loops).
Source: Rfam by way of RNAcentral
AGUUUUGUAGCUCGGUUGAUUAGAGUGUUGGUCUUAUGAGCCGAAGGUUGCGGGUUCAAGCCCUGUUGGGACUA